GACGAACGCUGGCGGCGUGCUUAACACAUGCAAGUCGAGCGACGCUCUUCCUUCGGGGAGAUGACGGAGCGGCGAACGGGUGAGUAACACGUGGGCAACCUGCCCCUAGCUCUGGGACAACACCGGGAAACCGGUGCUAAUACCGGAUACGACAUCGAGCGGCUUCUCUCGAUGUGGAAAGUUUUUUCGGCUAGGGAUGGGCCCGCGGCCUAUCAGCUUGUUGGUGGGGUAAUGGCCCACCAAGGCGACGACGGGUAGCCGGCCUGAGAGGGCGACCGGCCACACUGGGACUGAGACACGGCCCAGACUCCUACGGGUGGCAGCAGUGGGGAAUAUUGCGCAAUGGGCGAAAGCCUGACGCAGCGACGCCGCGUGAGGGAUGACGGCCUUCGGGUUGUAAACCUCUUUCAGCAGGGACGAAUUCAGACGGUACCUGCAGAAGAAGCACCGGCCAACUACGUG
RNAcentral lists this ribosomal RNA (462 nucleotides) under uncultured bacterium. Its description in RNAcentral is "partial 16S ribosomal RNA". It matches the Rfam family "Bacterial small subunit ribosomal RNA", at positions 28 to 507 of the family's 1533-position model. The record is from RNAcentral.